AUCCAGCUGACGAGCCCCAGCGAGGACGAAACAAGCGUCCUGGAU
Non-coding RNA from Schistosoma rodhaini, 45 nucleotides. The record is from Rfam. NCBI's taxonomy places the organism in Eukaryota, Metazoa, Platyhelminthes, Trematoda, Strigeidida, Schistosomatidae.